GUUUCAGGGCGGGGUGCAAUUCCCCACUGGCGGUAAAGUCCGCGACCAUCCGCAAGGGUGCUGACCCGGUGCAACUCCGGGACCAACGGUAUAGUCCGGAUGCAAGAAA
RNAcentral lists this non-coding RNA (109 nucleotides) under uncultured Faecalibacterium sp. Its description in RNAcentral is "FMN riboswitch (RFN element)". It matches the Rfam family "FMN riboswitch aptamer (RFN element)". Rfam says of the family: The RFN element is a highly conserved domain that is found frequently in the 5'-untranslated regions of prokaryotic mRNAs that encode for flavin mononucleotide (FMN) biosynthesis and transport proteins. This element is a metabolite-dependent riboswitch that directly binds FMN in the absence of proteins. The record is from RNAcentral. Lineage: Bacteria; Bacillati; Bacillota; Clostridia; Eubacteriales; Oscillospiraceae.